GUUCUGCUGGAUGUCGCUCAGAGAGAUCUGUACACCGAUGUCAUGCUGGAAAAUUAUGGGAAUUUAGCCUUCCUGGGCUGUGCUCUGGCAUUGGAGGCCAGUUCUGAGUCGCCUCUUCCUUCAGAGGGAGCGGGAAGAUCGCCUGCCCGAGCCGCACAGGUAGGGGGGAAAAGAUCGCCAGGAAGGGUCUGUGGUCUUUUGAGGAGGUGGCCUUGCAUUUCACCAAGGACGAAUGGUCACUGAUGGAUCCCGGCCAGAGAGCUUCGUACGUAGAGGUCACGGUGGAGAAUUUUGGAAACGUGGCCUCUUUGGUGCCCAGACCUAACCUCGUCACAUGUCUGGAAGAAGGGGAAGAUCCGUUUGUCCCGGAUCCUAAGAAAGAGAGAAGAGUGGCCAAUAACUUCCCAGGUAACUGCUUAAAGGAUGAACACUUGCUUGUGGGAAGAGGGUGGAUUCUGGACAUUUUUGGGAGAUGGGAAUCCUGUUGCAGUUGAGCUAGGCAGAAUUCUCUUGCACCGUGAGACCGGUCAUGGUCCAUGC
Molecule: non-coding RNA, 540 nt
Organism: Pogona vitticeps (central bearded dragon)
Lineage: Eukaryota; Metazoa; Chordata; Lepidosauria; Squamata; Agamidae
Source: RefSeq, a predicted model, not a curated record